GGGUUGUGAGGUUAAGCGAAUAAGCGUACACGGUGGAUGCCUAGGCAAUCAGAGGCGAUGAAGGACGUGCUAAUCUGCGAAAAGCGUCGGUAAGGUGAUAUGAACCGUUAUACCCGACGAUAUCCGAAUGGGGAAACCCAGUAUCCAAUGGAUACUAUCAUUAACUGAAUUCAUAGGUUAAUGAGGCGAACCGGGAGAACUGAAACAUCUCAGUACCCCGAGGAAAAGAAAUCAACCGAGAUUCCCCUAGUAGCGGCGAGCGAACGGGGAGCAGCCCAGAGUCUUAAUCAAUGGCAGUGUCAGGAGAACGGUCUGGAAAGUCCGGCAGUAAAGGGUGAUAGCCCCGUAUCUGAAGAUGCUGUUAUUGUGAACUCGACGAGUAGGGCGGGACACGUGUUAUCCUGUCUGAAUAUGGGGGGACCAUCCUCCAAGGCUAAAUACUCCUGAUUGACCGAUAGUGAACCAGUACCGUGAGGGAAAGGCGAAAAGAACCCUGGCGAGGGGAGUGAAAAAGAACCUGAAACCGUGUACGUACAAGCAGUAGGAGCCCCACCACUAAGCUAGUGGUGAGUGUCACAGCGAUUCUUUUGCAUGAUAAGUGCGGUAGACGGAGCGAAGCGACGUCCAACCCACAAAAUCAAGCAGAGGAGGCUUAGUGGUGGGGUGACUGCGUACCUUUUGUAUAAUGGGUCAGCGACUUAUAUUCUGUAGCAAGGUUAACCGCAUAGGGGAGCCGUAGGGAAACCGAGUCUUAACUGGGCGAAUGAGUUGCAGGGUAUAGACCCGAAACCCGGUGAUCUAUCCAUGGGCAGGUUGAAGGUUGGGUAACACUAACUGGAGGACCGAACCGACUAAUGUUGAAAAAUUAGCGGAUGACUUGUGGAUGGGGGUGAAAGGCCAAUCAAACCGGGAGAUAGCUGGUUCUCCCCGAAAGCUAUUUAGGUAGCGCCUCGUGAACUCAUCUUCGGGGGUAGAGCACUGUUUCGACUAGGGGGUCAUCCCGACUUACCAACUCGAUGCAAACUGCGAAUACCGAAGAAUGUUAUCACGGGAGACACACGGCGGGUGCUAACGUCCGUCGUGAAGAGGGAAACAACCCAGACCGCCAGCUAAGGUCCCAAAGUCAUGGUUAAGUGGGAAACGAAGUGGGAAGGCUCAGACAGCCAGGAUGUUGGCUUAGAAGCAGCCAUCAUUUAAAGAAAGCGUAAUAGCUCACUGGUCGAGUCGGCCCGCGCGGAAGAUGUAACGGGGCUAAACCAUGCACCGAAGCUGCGGCAGCGACACAAUGUGUUGUUGGGUAGGGGAGCGUUCUGUAAGCCUGCGAAGGUGUACUGUGAGGUAUGCUGGAGGUAUCAGAAGUGCGAAUGCUGACAUAAGUAACGAUAAUGCGGGUGAAAAACCCGCACGCCGGAAGACCAAGGGUUCCUGUCCAACGUUAAUCGGGGCAGGGUGAGUCGACCCCUAAGGCGAGGCUGAAAAGCGUAGUCGAUGGGAAACGGGUUAAUAUUCCCGUACUGGUGGUAACUGCGAUGGGGGAACGGAGAAGGCUAGGUUGUCCGGGCGACGGUCGUCCCGGUUCAAGCAGGUAGGCAGAGUGAUUAGGCAAAUCCGGUCACUUAAUGCUGAGAUGUGAUGACGAACCACCAAGGUGGUGAAGCAAUUGAUGCCCCGCUUCCAGGAAAAGCCUCUAAGCUUCAGGUUACCAACAAUCGUACCCCAAACCGACACAGGUGGUCAGGUAGAGAAUACUCAGGCGCUUGAGAGAACUCGGGUGAAGGAACUAGGCAAAAUGGUGCCGUAACUUCGGGAGAAGGCACGCUGGCGGUAGGUAAAGUCCCUCGCGGACAGAGCUGAAGCCAGUCGAAGAUACCAGCUGGCUGCAACUGUUUAUUAAAAACACAGCACUGUGCAAACACGAAAGUGGACGUAUACGGUGUGACGCCUGCCCGGUGCUGGAAGGUUAAUUGAUGGGGUUAGCGCAAGCGAAGCUCCUGAUCGAAGCCCCAGUAAACGGCGGCCGUAACUAUAACGGUCCUAAGGUAGCGAAAUUCCUUGUCGGGUAAGUUCCGACCUGCACGAAUGGCGUAAUGAUGGCCAGGCUGUCUCCACCCGAGACUCAGUGAAAUUGAACUCGCUGUGAAGAUGCAGUGUACCCGCGGCAAGACGGAAAGACCCCGUGAACCUUUACUAUAGCUUGACACUGAACAUUGAGCCUUGAUGUGUAGGAUAGGUGGGAGGCUUUGAAGUGUGGACGCCAGUCUGCAUGGAGCCAACCUUGAAAUACCACCCUUUAACGUUUGAUGUUCUAACCUAGGCCCGUGAUCCGGGUCGGGGACCGUGUCUGGUGGGUAGUUUGACUGGGGCGGUCUCCUCCUAAAGAGUAACGGAGGAGCACGAAGGUUGGCUAAGCAUGGUCGGACAUCAUGCGGUUAGUGCAAAGGCAUAAGCCAGCUUGACUGCGAGAGUGACGGCUCGAGCAGGUACGAAAGUAGGUCUUAGUGAUCCGGUGGUUCUGAAUGGAAGGGCCAUCGCUCAACGGAUAAAAGGUACUCCGGGGAUAACAGGCUGAUACCGCCCAAGAGUUCAUAUCGACGGCGGUGUUUGGCACCUCGAUGUCGGCUCAUCACAUCCUGGGGCUGAAGUAGGUCCCAAGGGUAUGGCUGUUCGCCAUUUAAAGUGGUACGCGAGCUGGGUUUAGAACGUCGUGAGACAGUUCGGUCCCUAUCUGCCGUGGGCGUUGGAAGAUUGAGAGGGGUUGCUCCUAGUACGAGAGGACCGGAGUGAACGCACCACUGGUGUUCGGGUUGUCAUGCCAAUGGCAUUGCCCGGUAGCUAAGUGCGGAAGAGAUAACCGCUGAAAGCAUCUAAGCGGGAAACUUGCCUCGAGAUGAGUCUUCCCUGUCGCUUAAAGCGACCUAAAGGAACGUUUAAGACGAAGACGUUGAUAGGCUGGGUGUGUAAGCGUAGCGAUACGUUGAGCUAACCAGUACUAAUGAACCGUGAGGCUUAACCUGACAACACCGAAGGUGUUU
This 3032-nucleotide ribosomal RNA is filed under the name Proteus mirabilis. RNAcentral describes it as "23S ribosomal RNA". It matches the Rfam family "Bacterial large subunit ribosomal RNA". The record is from RNAcentral. Lineage: Bacteria; Pseudomonadati; Pseudomonadota; Gammaproteobacteria; Enterobacterales; Morganellaceae.